UUAAUUGAAUAUGAAUCGCCUAAGACUCAGGUGGCUUAAUUGCCUUAACCAUGCCUGCCGAGGAGUUUAACGACUUUUCCUUAUGUUUUGGCGAGCAUAGGGAUUUUUUAUUAGGUCC
The sequence is a regulatory RNA element, 118 nucleotides long. It matches the Rfam family "Ribosomal protein L10 leader". Rfam says of the family: This family is a putative r-protein leader autoregulatory structure found in B. subtilis and other low-GC Gram-positive bacteria. The record is from Rfam.